CCACAGCUGAAGGUCAGUCCCCAAAGCUGGUUAUGGUUGAAAGGGAGGAAAAGCUGCUCCCACGUGGCUCUGGCUGAGGCUUCCGAGACUCUGCAGGUGGGGGCCGUCUGUCUUCCCCAGGUGGGAGCUACUUCUUUUUAGAAGCAGGCUCCACGGCGGUUUUCAGGUGUGGCCUUGCCCAGCGUCCCGAUGUUUUGCUUCCUGCCUGGCCUCGGCGCUCUUUGAUGACCUCCUCUUGCCACACACUGUGGUCUCCAUAGGCUGCCCACUGCUGAUCCGAGGCUGGUGGCCCCCAGCACACGUGGGUUUCUGAGGAACACGCUGAGACUCUCGGGCCAUGCCGUGACACAGGGGAGACAGCGUCUGCUCUUUUUCCAUUUUUGUUCGUUUUCAGUGCUCUGACCCUCAGGAAGCCCACUUAAGCAUCCCAGAAUCCAGACGGCCGUGAACAAAGCUGCUGUGGUUUGGGGCUGCAAAACUGGCCCACAGCCCACCUGGAUAACUGAAUCGAACAUGCCUCAGCCGCCCUCACCACAGGCACCAUCCCCCUCACAGAAGUUUGAUGUCUGAUCAUUCAGCACUGGCUGAGCCUCAGAGCUAAAAUGGAAAAUGCAUUUUAUGAGCAGAUAACACAUUUUUGGAAUGGCUACUUUAAACAUUGUGGAUACAGAUUCACAGAGACUAUUUUUAGAUGAAUUAUUUCUUCUAUUUACCAUACUGAUUUGCUGGAAGAAAGAAAAACAAUAUUUUAAAAAGGGAAAACAUUCUUUAAAAGCAGUGACUCUAAAUUUCCCCUGAAGAGCAAAAUGCUGUCUGUGUCUCACUCAAUGUGGUGGCUGCUACAGGAGGAUCUUCCCAGGCCUUCUCAGGGAAUUCCCAUCAGGAUCACAGGAAUGGUACCUGGCAGACACAACCCAGUCUGCACCUUCCAUGGGCCACAGCUGAUGGUACGAGGAGAGGUGUGACAUCUGCCUGACCUCAGCUCUGGGGGUUCCUGUGGGUGGACAGAAGGAGCCCUGGAGGCCCGGCCAGGAUGCGUCAUCUGUGGCUACCACGUGGAUUCUCUGGUGUGCUGAGUCAAGGCAGCGAUCUUCCAAGUGUGGUCGCUGUACCUCCAUCAGCACCUCCUGGGACUUGUCAGGACGCUGACCCGGGCCCCAGCCAAGUUCUGCUGCUGCCUCAGGGGGACAGAGGCAGGGCCUCACUGUCUGAUGAUCCAGCCCUGCAGGGGGCCCGCUGCACCUGCAGGUGUGAGAGCCGCCGCUGAAUUAAGGUGACUGGAAGGUUUCAGGGCAUGGGAGGGAGGUAGAUCAUUUGGGGCUGAGAAGCACUUUUGCAUCUCUUUCCUGCCCAGAAGCGACCAGAGAGGCCAGGCAUUGUCACCUGGAGACUUUGGAAAUGAAGCCCUGAGCUGAUCUAAUAAUUUCUGGCAAAUUCUAUGGGGUUGCUUCAUGAAUUAGGAAAAGCCAUAGAAACUCAAGUGUAAAUCGUGUGUUAUAUCCCAGGGCCGCGCGCUUAAUGUGGACUGUGGAGCUUGUACGCAGCCUGUCACACCCUGCCAGCCUCAAUACGGCUCUCCUUACCCCGGGCCUCUGCACGCACAUAUGAAAGGCAACCUCACCUCUGUGGCUUGCAUGGUUCAGCGAUUCAUACUGUGCUCAGUUCAAAAGCCACCAUUUCCACCAAGACGUGGUGACCUCAACUGGAUUGGAGACAACGCCUCUCCCCAGCUCCUCUGGAAUAUGGUUCUGUCCUCUGAGCCUGGUAUCGGCGUCGAUGCUGUCUACAUGCGCUGCUGGCUGGUCGCCUACUGGAUGUGUCUGCCCGCUGGGGGAAGGAACCAGGCCCUGGAAUGGGAUCCUGAGUAGGAGCACAGUCUGGAUAUUCCUGCAGGAGUGAAGAGACAUUCUCAGGGCGGAUGUUGCCAGGACAAAGAAACACAAGCAACAACAAGAACAAAACUGGAGGUGAGAGCUGUGAUGGUGUUGAGAGUGGCUCCUCGUGCUUUUGAGCACCUUUAGCUUUCUGGAAUGUUCCACAUGGGGUGUGAGCCAUGAUGGUGUUGAGAGUGGCUCCUCGUGCUUCCAUGCACCUUUAGCUUUCCGGAAUGGUCCGUUGGGGGUGCGAGUCAUGAUGGUGUUGAGAGUGGCUCCUCAUGCUUCCAUGCAACUUUAGCUUUCUGGAGUGUUCCACGGGGUGCAGAGUGUGUCUUCAAACGUGGACACAGGUGUGCAGGGGUCUCCUUUUGAUGCGUAAGGAAUAAGGAGACACGGGGUGCUGAGGUGUCCUCUCAGGCCCAGAAGUUAGGCUUCCUAACACCGUGGACCAGGUUUAACCACACAUGUGUUUUCCUCACAGUGCUGGAGGCUGGAGGUCCAAGGUCAAGGCUUGGGCAGGUUGGCUUCUCUGGGGCCUCUCUCCUUGGCUUGCAGACAGUACCUCCUCGUGGUGUCCAUGUGGGUGCCCCUCUGUGCACAUGGACACAGGGUGUCUCUGUGCGUCCUAAUAUAUCCUCUUCUUCUAAGGACGCCCCUGACAUGGAUUCGGCACCCUCAUGGCCUUGUUUUAACUUAAUCAACUCUGCAACGACCCUGUCUCCAAUUUUUCAAAGAGCUAAAAGUGGAAAUACCAUUUCACUCAGGAAUCCCAUGACUCAAAGGAAAAUAAAUACUUCUAUCAAAAAGACACAUACACUCACAUGUUUAUCAUGGCACUAUUCACAACA
This 2725-nucleotide long non-coding RNA is filed under the name Homo sapiens (human). RNAcentral's name for it is "HSALNT0338685". The record is from RNAcentral. Lineage: Eukaryota; Metazoa; Chordata; Mammalia; Primates; Hominidae.